UACAGAGGUGCCAAGCGUUAGGCGGAAUCACUGGGCUUAAAGCGCGUGUAGGUGGGUCGUUAAGUGUCCGCGUGAAAUCCCACGGCUCAACCGUGGAACUGCCGGGCGUACUGGCGAUCUUGAGGCAUUCAGGGGCGAGCGGAACAAGUGGUGGAGCGGUGAAAUGCGUAGAUAUCACUUGGAACGCCAAUGGUGAAAACAGCUCGCUGGGAAUGAUCUGACACUGAGACGCGAAAGCCAGGGGAGCGAACGGG
Molecule: ribosomal RNA, 254 nt
Filed under: uncultured bacterium
Lineage: Bacteria
Description: partial 16S ribosomal RNA
Rfam family: Bacterial small subunit ribosomal RNA
Source: RNAcentral